RNAcentral lists this ribosomal RNA (253 nucleotides) under uncultured bacterium. Its description in RNAcentral is "partial 16S ribosomal RNA". It matches the Rfam family "Bacterial small subunit ribosomal RNA", at positions 524 to 776 of the family's 1533-position model. The record is from RNAcentral.
UACGGAGGGUGCAAGCGUUAUCCGGAUUCACUGGGUUUAAAGGGUGCGUAGGUGGGUCUGAAAGUCAGUGGUGAAAUCUCCGGGCUCAACCCGGAAACUGCCAUUGAUACUACAGGUCUUGAAUUUUCUGGAGGAUAGCGGAAUAUGUCAUGUAGCGGUGAAAUGCUUAGAUAUGACAUAGAACACCAAUUGCGUAGGCAGCUAUCUACAGGGAUAUUGACACUGAGGCACGAAAGCGUGGGGAUCAAACAGG